UUAAGAACAAAUUAUUAUUUACAAUGACGGCCUAACAAAAGUCAAAAGGCACAGGGGCUGGGAUAAAAAAAAAAAUAUAUAUAUAUAUAAUAAUAAUAAUUAAAAUAAAAAAUACAUGUAUAUAUUUAUAUUUAUAUGUAAAUAUAGGACAAAACACACAUCACAACAAAACAGACAACACUACAUCAAGAGAGACCUAAGACAACAACAUAGCAACGCAGCAACACAUGACAACACAGCAUGGUAGCAACACAACAUAACAACAACAUGGUAGGAGCACAAAACAUGCUGUAAAUAACACUGGAAACAUGUGCAUAGAUAAUUAUUUGUUAAAUUAUCUUACAGUUUGUUUGGAGUGAAUUCUAAAACUAACUGCUAUUCUGAUGAGACAACACCUUCUUCCUUUUAUUGUAGUUGCAGUGGAAACCACGUUACUGGAUCUUACUAGUAGCCUUGCAUACCCUACAACCAUUUUCAUGAUUCACAUUCAAUACUCUCCAAAUACCAACAUCAGCACAGAAACAGAGCAGACAGCAGUCAAAUCAACAUAAAGCUAUUCUAGUGAUUCCGUGCUUCAGCAUGUCUUCUACAGACAGUAGUAGAUCUACAAAACACAUUCUAAACAAUGUCUUUGUAUAGAACUCACAUAGAACAAUCAUUUUCACAGGCCAUAUGUUCAGUGGUUCACGACCAAUCACAACAGCGUGAGACAAUAUACUGAUGACAUUGAUUGUUUCCUAAUCUGCUGAUACAAUACAAAGGCACUGUUGCGAUAACCUUUCAUAUGGAACACGUGAAAUGGUAAGGCUAUAUUCUGGAUAUGAAAGGUAUUUGUGCACGAGAUAAGAAUGUCACGAGGUAAAAUUGCCUGCUUCUGAGUGUGUACGUACGUGUAAAUCAGAAUAUCUUUAAUGCUAAGAAGUAGAAGCUCAGUAUUGAGAAGUCAGUAUAAAAACAGAGCUUGGCCGGUGUUGAUUAGUGGAAGGUCAUGCAUGGAUCUUUACACAUGCUAAUAGCCUCUAACACCUUGUCUAUUGUACUCGUAUCACACCCCAGUUCAGCUCAGUAGGCAAUCUACUCCAAACAUUUAUUUAGGUGGCCUAUAACCUAGUUCCUACAUUUGAAAAACAUCUUAAUAAGAACGAUAAGACUAUAAAGUUAAUGGUGUCUAUAUUCAUAGAUUCAUCAAUUAAUGAUCCAAUAUCAAAUCAAACUUCAAUUCAAACUUUAUUUGAAGUGCAUUUAAAAUAGUAAAACACUUAAAACAAUCAAAUUAAGAAACAAGCACGGCAAUAUAAGAGAUCACAUGUUAUCAAAGAACAUGAAACAAAAGCGUAACUGAUUAAAGGCCAAGCUAAAAAGGCUGGUUGACAAAUGGGAUUUUAACACAAUCAGUUUCACAGUACAAUGCAAAGUUCCAUAUACAAAACAGACAAUAAAACGUAUAAAAAGUAUGAUACACUUUCUGAAAUAAACACAAACAAUGAAUAAUAUAUAUUUGUAUUUUUAAAUACCGCUACAAAUGAAUAAAUAAACAGUAGCUCUGCUCUCAAAACUCCCACUGGUAGGUCCCUUGAUGUCUUAUAGUUUCACUUCCAAGUAGCCUAAUGAGAAUUUGUUCUUAAUAACUGACAUGCCUGGUUAAAGGCUAAACAAAAAAAUAUCUAAUGCCUCAAAAGCAGCCCUGCUUGAAACUGGUACUACCACAGCCACUGUCUCUGUAGUCCUGGCAAACUGUACUUUAUACUGCCGAUAUGCACAACUCUUCAUAAUUCUCUGAACUGGCAUAAACUAUGCCUCUGAUACAGAUUCCGAUGCCUUGUCCCUGUACCUCAACACGGGGCUUGAAAUGAUAUUGAUUCAGAUGUUUCUCGAACCAAUUUACACGAGCCAUGUGUGAUUUCAUAUGCUGGACCAACAAGCACACACGACAAGAGAACAACUGUGUUACUAAGCCCGGUGUUAGCUCUACAUCUGGUUGAAAGCAUGGUAGGCCCAUCUGUCAGCGAAGAAUCACUUUGCAAGUAAGUGAGUGAUGAGCGGAAAAACUUCUACUUUGAUCAGUGCUUAUGACCUCUCCCCAGCAUGUCUACCUUUUAAUGUCGUUCUGUCAGCUGUACAAUGGUGUUUGGAUCCAUGAAUGUGAAGACAAACAUAUCAUUACCAUCUUCACUUGUUAUGACAAACAGCAGGGAUCAGACAUUAUUGACGGCGACCCUGGAGCAAUUCGGGUUAAGUGCCUUGCUCAAGGGCACAGACACAUUUUUCAGCUUGCCGGCUCGGGGAUUCAAACCAGCCACCUUUUCAGUUCAGCCUGAAGGGACUUGAAAGACACUGCUAGGCUACCUGCUGUCGUUCAAGUCCCUUCAGAGUGAAUAGGAAGUAAACACAUGUCCAAUUUUUCCAUUCUUGUGCAUUGAAAUGAGAAAACCCAGAGGAGAUUAGAGAUUUUCGCGGGUAGUUGGCCCAUGUCUGAAGGUGCUUUCGGGGCAUCAACUUUAAGCUGUAUAUUUCUUAGUAUUACAUCAUUCAGCACACCAAUAUUCUUAGACGGUAAAAACGUGUUUUGCUGUCCCCAGUAAAAUAUUUUGCAUAUGGUCCACGACAGCCAUGUCUAUGGGGAUGAAAUGUGUCAAUUUAAAUAGCUCUGGCCCCAGUUUCAGUCUUUAUUGUUUUCCUCUCUGCCUUGGUCUUCGCCUGUGUCCACAUACUGCCUUGCAUUUUGUUAACUUCAGUCUGACGUUGCAGUACAUGGUUGUCCGUCCGGUUUAUGAUGGAGUAAUCUGCAUUCCAAAUACUACCGUUGCACCAUCGAGAGUGUCCUGACUGGUUUCAUCAUGACCUGGUAUGGGAAUUGCUCCGUCCACAAGAGCAAGGCCCUCCAGCCGGUGAAGAUGGCCCAGUACAACACUGGGACUGUGAUCCCACCCAUACAGGACAUCUACUUGAAGCGGUGCCUAAGGAAGGCACGCAGCAUCAUCUAGGACCCCACACACACCAGCCAUGAGCGUUUAUCUCCCUUACCGUCGGCAGAUGGUAUCAGAGCAUGAGGACGGAUACCAACAGCCUCAGAGACAGUUUCAGAACUGUAUUCUACUUAUGCUCAGGGGAGUACUGGGGACAUUCCGAAAUUGCAUUUCCCCCCCCAGUUUUAUCAUUGGAAUGUGAUACAAAAUGAGGCAACGCUGUGCUUUAGGAUAAUGCGGACGCCUCAGGGUGGUCGGGUAGACUGUUUGGAGUGUUUAUACGGCUGGAUAAAACAAAUUAAGUUGCGCCCCUGUUUAUGCUAAAUUUGUAUUAUAUUCUACUGCCAUUUACUUUAUGUUCGUAUUCUUAUAUUUUAUUAUUUCUUAUUGUUGUUGCUUUGUCGAGAAGGAACCUGCAAGUAAGCACUUCGUUGGAUGAUAUACAGUGGGGCAAAAAAGUAUUUAGUCGGCCACCAAUUGUGCAAGUUCUCCCACUUAAAAAGAUGAGAGGCCUGUCAUUUUCAUCAUAGGUACACUUCAACUAUGACAGACAAAAUUAGAAAAAAAAUCCAGAAAAUCACAUUGUAGGAUUUUUUAAUUAAUUUAUUAGCCACAGUUCAAGUCUACCUAAGGGGUGGCUAUCUCACAGACACUAAUGCGAUAGCAGCUGGGUCUGGUCUAUUUGUAUAUGAACCAGGAAAAAAAAGUCUCUGCUGGAGCGACCAUGUACCAUGUAUCAGAGUUUCAGUUUUGAUGGGACCGGAACUGUAAUUUCAUAAAACAUUGGCUCAAACUCAUCAGCCAAUAAAAUGCAUGGGCAUAGUGAUUGAAAGGUAAAUAAUCCAAUUAAACGAACAAUACCAGAUGAGGGUGUGACGGUUGAAAAUGACCAAUCAAAUUCAUGUGAUUUGAAAACGCAGCCAUCUCAACCAGUUCAAGGCACAACAAUUCAAUGGGAGGGUGUUUUUCUACUGGCGGUCAUUAGAAAAAAUAUACUCAUGUAACUAACAAUGAACAACUGCCGGGAAUUUGUACUCGUCGCACCAUGCCAUGUAAAUGGUUAGGGAUAACAUUUAUAAAUGGUACUGCGAGUACUCUAUAGCCCACAGCCACAACAUUCCAAAUGAGACUGUCAAGAAACAUUGACGGGGCUGUAAUGGAGCGGGUUGAGAGUCUCAAGUUCCUUGGUGUCCACAUCACCAUCAAACUAUCAUAGUCCAAACACACAGAGACAGUUGUGAAGAGGGCACGACAACACCUUUUCCCCCUCGGGAGACUGAAAAGAUUUGGCAGGGGUCCCCAGAUCCUCAAAAAGUUCUACAGCUGCAACAUCGAGAGCAUCCUGACAGGUUGCAUCAUCGCUUGGUAUUGCAACUGCUCUGCAUCUGACCGUAAGGCACUACAGAGGGUAGUGCGUACGGUCCAGUACAACACUGGGGCCAAGCUUCCUGUAAUCCAGGACCAAUUUAAUAGGCGGUGUCAGAGGAAAGCCUAUAAAAUUGUCAAGAGACGCCAGUCACCCAAGUCAUAGACUGUUUUCUCUGCUACCGCACGGCAAGCGGUACCGGAGCACCAAGUUUAGGUCCAAAAGGCUCGCUAACAGCUUCUACCCCCAAGCCGUUAGACUGCUGAUCAAUUAAUCAAAUGGCCAUCCAGACUAUUUACAUUGACACCUCGCCCUUUGUUUUUACAUCACUACUACUCACUGUUUAUUAUUGUGUGACUUUAUAUUUUAUUUUUUACUUUAGUUGAUUAAGUAAAUAUUUUCUUAACUCUAUUUCUUGAACUGCAUUGUUGGUUAAGGGCUUGUAAGUAAGCAUUUCACGGUUUGGUGUUAUAUUCGGCGCAUGUGACAAAUAACAUAUUUGAAAUAAAUUGAGCUAGCAUAGCUAUCUCUGCUUGCUGGCACUGUAGCAGCUAUAACAUUGGCAGAGAUAGCUACAGUAGCAAUGUAGUCAAUAACUAACAUUAACAUGAUCAUGUUACAUGGAUUUUUGUUGACAAGAACAAGCUACUGUUUGCUGGCAAGUAAAAUGAACUAGCUAGCUACAAAUCUUCCAAAGCAGUUGGCUAACGUUAGCUUUCCAACGUUGGCGGAAGAACGGAUAGCUUGGUAGCUAUUGAACGUUAGCUAGCUAACCAAGCCUAGUAAAAUACAGCAAAGGAGACAAGCGGCUAUUGAUUAAAAAAAAAUAUAUUGAUACAAUUCGUUUUUGGGACCUGCCGGAAGUCUCUUUGUGCAAAGGAAUGAUGCAUCACCAAAUGAGGGCAUGGAUUUCCAACAACUCAUGUCAUAACCAGGCUGAAUCAGAUGCCGGUCUACAACAUGGUGGCUGAUAUGGACGAUAGACUGAUGACACAAGUAGCUCAACUAGCUAUUCCAACAACAACAGCAGCAGCUACAGCUAAGCACUUCUGCACCUGAAAGGAUGACGGGCGUUCGUCAGGCAAAAUAGAAUGAGCUAUCCCGGACAGUAAGGGAUCUACACAUUAAUGCUGGAACAACCGCCCCGCACAACACCUGUGUACUGUCCGCUGGUCAGUCAGCUGAGAGGAAGGUACACAGAUGGAGAGUAGCGCAUGGUAGAAUAUGAAAAUGCAGCUGCAAAUCGGUGUUGGACUGAAAGAGAUGCAUAAGUCGUCAGAGACCCCAGAUGGAGCCAAGGAACGGAACAUACAAAAGAGAAGACUGCGUCGCCAGAGACGGGUU
Long non-coding RNA from Oncorhynchus keta (chum salmon), 5676 nucleotides. RefSeq lists it as uncharacterized. The record is from RefSeq and is a predicted model, not a curated record. The transcript has 4 exons. NCBI's taxonomy places the organism in Eukaryota, Metazoa, Chordata, Actinopteri, Salmoniformes, Salmonidae.